Molecule: ribosomal RNA, 253 nt
Filed under: uncultured bacterium
Lineage: Bacteria
Description: partial 16S ribosomal RNA
Rfam family: Bacterial small subunit ribosomal RNA
Source: RNAcentral
UACGGAGGGUGCAAACGUUGCUCGGAAUCAUUGGGCGUAAAGCGCACGUAGGCGGCCUGAUAAGUCGGGUGUGAAAGCCCUGGACUCAACCCAGGAAGUGCACUCGAAACUGUCAGGCUUGAAUAUGGAAGAGGGUCGCGGAAUUCCCGGUGUAGAGGUGAAAUUCGUAGAUAUCGGGAGGAACACCAGUGGCGAAGGCGGCGACCUGGGCCAAUAUUGACGCUGAGGUGCGAAAGCGUGGGGAGCAAACAGG